CCUACGGGUCGCACCAGUGGGGAAUAUUGCACAAUGGGCGCAAGCCUGAUGCAGCCAUGCCGCGUGUGUGAAGAAGGCCUUCGGGUUGCAAAGCACUUUCAGCGGGGAGGAAGGCGGUGAGGUUAAUAACCUCACCGAUUGACGUUACCCGCAGAAGAAGCACCGGCUAACUCCGUGCCAGCAGCCGCGGUAAUACGGAGGGUGCAAGCGUUAAUCGGAAUUACUGGGCGUAAAGCGCACGCAGGCGGUCUGUCAAGUCGGAUGUGAAAUCCCCGGGCUUAACCUGGGAACUGCAUUCGAAACUGGCAGGCUAGAGUCUUGUAGAGGGGGGUAGAAUUUCAGGUGUAGCGGUGAAAUGCGUAGAGAUCUGAAGGAAUACCAGUGGCGAAGGCGGCCCCCUGGACAAAGACUGACGCUCAGAUGCGAAAGCGUGGGGAGCAAACAGGAUUAGAUACCCCGGUAGUC
This 465-nucleotide ribosomal RNA is filed under the name uncultured bacterium. Its description in RNAcentral is "bacterial SSU rRNA". It matches the Rfam family "Bacterial small subunit ribosomal RNA", at positions 338 to 795 of the family's 1533-position model. The record is from RNAcentral.